GACGAACGCUGGCGGCGUGCCUAAUACAUGCAAGUCGAACGCAGUGGGGACGGGUGAGUAACACGUGGGUAACCUCCCAUCAGAGGUGAUAACACUUGGCAACAGGUGCUAAACCGAUACUGAUUUAUUACCCCGCGGUGCAUUAGCUAGUUGGUGAGGUAACGGCUCACAAAGGCCACGAUGCAUAGCCGAGCUGAGAGGGUGAUCGGCCACACUGGUACUGAGACACGGCCAAGACUCCUACGGGAGGCAGCAGUAGGGAAUCUUCGGCAAUGGACGAAAGUCUGACCGAGCAACGCCGCGUGAGUGAAGAAGGUUUUCGGAUCGUAAAACUCUGUUGUUAGAGAAGCGGUAUCUAACCAGAAAGCCACGGCUAACUACGUGCCAGCCGCCGCGGUAAUUC
RNAcentral lists this ribosomal RNA (403 nucleotides) under uncultured bacterium. RNAcentral describes it as "partial 16S ribosomal RNA". It matches the Rfam family "Bacterial small subunit ribosomal RNA", at positions 28 to 526 of the family's 1533-position model. The record is from RNAcentral.